Molecule: ribosomal RNA, 497 nt
Filed under: uncultured bacterium
Lineage: Bacteria
Description: partial 16S ribosomal RNA
Rfam family: Bacterial small subunit ribosomal RNA
Source: RNAcentral
GAUGAACGCUGGCGGCGUGCCUAAUACAUGCAAGUCGAGCGAACAGACGAGGAGCUUGCUCCUCUGACGUUAGCGGCGGACGGGUGAGUAACACGUGGAUAACCUACCUAUAAUACUUGGAUAACUUCGGGAAACCGGAUCUAAUACCGGAUAAUAUAUUGAACCGCAUGGUUCAAUAGUGAAUGACGGUUUUGCUGUCACUUUUAGAUGGUUCCGCGCCGCAUUAGCUAGUUGGUAAGGUAACGGCUUACCAAGGCGACGAUGCGUAGCCGACCUGAGAGGGUGAUCGGCCACACUGGAACUGAGACACGGUCCAGACUCCUACGGGAGGCAGCAGUAGGGAAUCUUCCGCAAUGGGCGAAAGCCUGACGGAGCAACGCCGCGUGAGUGAUGAAGGUCUUCGGAUCGUAAAACUCUGUUAUUAGGGAAGAACAAAUGUGUAAGUAACUAUGCACGUCUUGACGGUACCUAAUCAGAAAGCCACGGCUAACUACGUG